UAUGGUAAUUUUACAUUGUUUCCUCUUCAGGGUACAUGGUCCAGUGCAGCAAUUCUCCUGUUCAAGCAUCUCUGCCGCUUCAAGGAAUUUGUGGGCAUCGUGGAUGAAUAUGUGGAUGGUGUUCUGUACCUCUUCCUGUGUGACACAUCCACCAAGGAGGAUGUCUACUUCCACUCUGUCUUAAGGGAUAUGGGAUAUGCUGAUAUCUGUGGAGAGAACAUCCCUUCCCAGGAAUUUGAGGAACUGAAUCCUUCAGCCUUGUAUGUUCAGCCCAGUGGAAAGCAGGGCAAUGCUGAAGUGAUGGAGCCAGACCUUCGCUUGCAACAGCAAUCUCGAGAUUCAGACAGUGGAACAGCAACCUCGAAGCUGGAUGGGGCUGAGCUGUGACCAGAUGAAGAAAACAUGAAGACCAACGCCUUCCCAGGAGUUAAAUGGUUGGCCUCUGCCGUGCUCUGGGCUCUGUGACCAAGGGCCACCUCAGGAACUGGGUCCCUCCUGCCCUGCUCUCUGCAGUGUUGGCAGCUGCAUGGUUGGCCACUUCACAUGCCUACCUCCAGUGGCUGCCCAGCCUGAGAAGGAAGGUGUGAUAGGAGGGGAGCUGCUGCCAAGGGAGGCUGUCUAGAGCAGCACAGGCUCUCUGUAUGACCCUGCUGUCAGGUUUUUUUUUGUUCAGAAACGUUUAAUUUCUUGAAAAAGCCUGGAGUGUGGUAUCUCAGGUGUGGUAUCUCAGGUGUGCCCAGCAUGUGUGAUAAAUGUUAGUUUUACUUUCAGAAAAGUAGUUUGGUUUUGUUGUACCUGUGGUGUACUGAGUUACUGCUCUUUAAUAUAAUGGUUCAGGAGAACAUCCAAGUGUUACAUUCUUUUAUGUAUCCUUUAAGUUUAAGAGAGGGAAAUUGGCUGCCUAUCCCUGCUUCCUUUAGUGCAUGAGCUGUUUUGACAUUAUGUGGGGAUGUGAUUUUGGUUUUUAAUACAGUGGCUGCUUUACAUACUCCUUGCUGUGAGGAGAGCCAAAGAAACCUCCUUCCCCAAGAAGAAGAGGCUGUGAUUUGUUGGAUGUCAUGUGUACAAAGUGUCAGGAAUCUCAUCUUUAAUGAUAUGGAAUAAAGUCUGUG
This 1112-nucleotide long non-coding RNA is filed under the name Chloebia gouldiae (Gouldian finch). RNAcentral's name for it is "Erythrura gouldiae (Gouldian finch) lncRNA (ENSEGOG00005004770.1)". Lineage: Eukaryota; Metazoa; Chordata; Aves; Passeriformes; Passeridae. The record is from RNAcentral.